GAAAGUGAAACCAAAACAUUAAGUAGAUCAAUAAACCAAUGAGCUUCAUCUUUGAGUUCAAAUUUUACCAACCAGAAUUCUGUUAAAUCAACAAACCAAAGAGUCCAUAACUGCUUUGAACCUGCAUCAGAAAUAAAGGGGAAAAAAUGUAAUUUUUGACCAACCUUUUGGAACAGGGGAAUGACAUUAUCUUUCAUUCCCUCUCUUUUGGCUUCAACUCUAGACAGAACCUGGACAUGCUAUGAUCAUCUUUUUGUAACUAGAUCAUAUAGCAUGCAAGGUUCUAUGCAUCCAAACCUCCUCUAUAACCCUUUGUUUACAUGAGAAGAAUUGCUUCUCUUCUUUGCUGCUUAUAUCGAGUUGAUGUCCCCAUUUAAGAUCUUGAUUCAAUCCACAAAGAUUAUGGCAUGAAAGCAAGCUUGUAUAUGGAUAAAGCAGAUUAUAAAGACGAAGCUAUCUUUACAGUAUUGUAAUUAAGAAUCAGAGGAUUCAGGCAUCCCUUUCCUCUCCUUUAGUCCCAAACAAAAAUUAUGUUCCUCCAUCUGUGGUGCAAUGGACACAAUUUUCUCAAAGAUCUCAUUCAGUUGAGGCUAUGAAACUACUCUGAUGCAAUUCAAUGUAACAUUAUAACUCCAGCUUUGGCAUUUCCAGGGGACUUGCAAUCUUCAUAUCCUUAACCAAUCCAUGCAACAUAUGAUGUAUGCUCUCAAUUUGGGGAUGCAAUGGGGAUCCCACUAGAAAUUCAUGGACAACUCCAUUAAUGCUGAUCCAACUACAUCCAGGCUGUUUCUUGACUCCUUUCUCCUUCAUAAACCACCUCAGUGCUGAUACAUCACUCCAUCGAUGAUCAACUGCAAAUAUAUUAGCCAACAUCACAUAGCCUGCAGAAUUAGCUGGGUCUACUUCAAGAAACCUCUUGUAAACAAGUUUAGCCAUAUCUGGUUUAGAAUGGAGCAGGCAACCACCAAGCAAUGCUCCCCACACAAAAUUAUUAGGCUUAAAAGGCAUUGAGGUAGCAACCUUGAUUGCUUCUUCCAAAUGGCCAUUUCGUGCAAGAAGAUCAAUAUAGCAAGCAUAAUGUUCUAAUUUAGGAAGGAUAACAAAGCUUGAGCUCAUGUCUCGGAAAAUCUUUCGUCCUUCAUCUGAUAAUCCUGAGUGGCUGCAUGCCCAUAAAAGGCCAAGGAAUGUUCCAGCAUUGGGAUGUAAACCAAACUCUUGCAUAGUGGAGAAAAGUUUAACUGCCUCCAUCCCUUCACCAUUUAUAGCAAGACCCAUUAUCAUGGUAUUGAACGAGACAACAUCUUUGGAAACCAUCUGGUUGAAAACCUCCUUUGCCUUGUCCAAACUCCCACAUUUAGAGUACAUGUCUAUCAAUGAAGUUGAUAGGAAUGUGUUGAAUUCUAGAACACCUUUGCUUCCUUUAGAUUUCAAGUAAUCAUGAACCCACUUUCCAAGCUCUAGAUCACCAAUUUGAGCACAAGCUGAAAGCACGCUAACCAUUGUGACAUGGUUGGGUCUACAAGUAGGAUUCUCCGCCAUUAAUCGAAAAAGACUCAAAGCCUCCAAAGGGAAACCAUUUUGAACGUAUGCAUUUAUCAUAGAAUUCCAAGGAAGUACACUUCUUUUUCCAUUACAAGAAAUAUCAUCAAAUCUUUCCCUACUCUUUUCAAUCUUUCCCCAUUUCCCAUACAAAUAAACAAGAACAUUGUUGAGUGAAUCACAACUAGAAGUCUUGCAUUCAAUACCGUUAGUGAAUUCUGAUAAAGCAGUUACCCAUUUCUCAAUUUGGUGGAUCUCAAGGUUCGAACAUGCUGACAAAACACUGACCACUGUAUCAUUCUCGGGCCUCAACUUCUCCCUAGCCAUCAUCACACAGAAGAGCCUCAAAACUUCCUCAGAUUGACCAGACUGAGCAAAACCAGCAAUCAAAGAAGUCCAACAACAAACCACACCUUUGUCAGGCAUUUCAUCAAACAACAAACGGGCAGAGGCCAAAUCUUUAAAGCACUUAGCAUAAACAGCUACAAGACCAUUGCAAACAAAAGGAUCAGUAAUAAGACCAACUUUUAAGAUGUGGGUAUGAACUUGUUGCACAUAAACCAUAUAUUUGGCACCAAAACACGCCUUCAAGAUAAACGAAAAGGUCAAGUCAUUAGGGGAAAGGGACUGCCGUUUUAAUCUACGGAAGAGAAAGAAAGAGUCGUGGAAAUGACCUUCAUAUGCGAAGACUCUGAUAAUGGCAUUAAACGGAAACAAAUUGGGUCCCUGCAGUUGAUCAAAAACGCGAAGAGCAAGAUGAGAUGGGUAAUGGCCAAUAAGACGAGUUGCUAUCAAGUUGUCUUGGUGUGCAUGGAGACGGAAGACUCUGGCAUGGAUUUGAAGGAGAUGGCCAUGUGGAAUGGGACCUUGCAAGAGAGUAGAGAGACUAAUGAAGCUAGGAGGACCUGAUUUGCAAUAGAUAGAACCGGCAAGGUUGAAGUAGCAGGUUUUCAAGGAGUCUGGAAGUUUAAGUUGUUGAAAGAUUGGAUAAAAGUAUGGUUUUUGAGUCGUGAAAGUGUGAAAUCUCAUAUCAAAACUACGAAUUAUUCAUCAAAAAUAACCUUUCAUGAGGCUUGGUCAUGGGUACAG
Molecule: unclassified non-coding RNA, 2628 nt
Filed under: Hevea brasiliensis (rubber tree)
Lineage: Eukaryota; Viridiplantae; Streptophyta; Magnoliopsida; Malpighiales; Euphorbiaceae
Source: RNAcentral